RNAcentral lists this ribosomal RNA (469 nucleotides) under uncultured bacterium. RNAcentral describes it as "bacterial SSU rRNA". It matches the Rfam family "Bacterial small subunit ribosomal RNA", at positions 75 to 523 of the family's 1533-position model. The record is from RNAcentral.
GGACUUCGGUCCUUAGUAGAGCGGCGAACGGGUGAGUAACACGUGGGUAACCUGCCUGGGAGUGGGGGAUAACCUGGGGAAACUCGGGCUAAUACCGCAUACGUUCCCGGAGCUACGGCUCCGGGAGGAAAGAUGGCCUCUGCUUGCAAGCUAUCUCUCCCAGGGGGGCCCGCGGCUGAUUAGCUAGUUGGUGAGGUAACGGCUCACCAAGGCGACGAUCAGUAGCCGGCCUGAGAGGGUGAUCGGCCACACUGGAACUGAGACACGGUCCAGACUCCUACGGGAGGCAGCAGUGGGGAAUAUUGGACAAUGGGGGAAACCCUGAUCCAGCAACGCCGCGUGGGGGAUGAAGGUCUUCGGAUUGUAAACCCCUGUUGAGAGGGACGAAGGUUUGAGGGCAAACAGCUCGCAAACUUGACGGUACCUCGAGAGGAAGCCCCGGCUAACUCUGUGCCAGCCGCCGCGGUAA